This 495-nucleotide ribosomal RNA is filed under the name uncultured bacterium. RNAcentral's name for it is "bacterial SSU rRNA". It matches the Rfam family "Bacterial small subunit ribosomal RNA", at positions 29 to 518 of the family's 1533-position model. The record is from RNAcentral.
AUGAACGCUAGCGACAGGCCUAACACAUGCAAGUCAGGGGCAGCACAAGGAGCAAUCUGAGGUGGCGACCGGCGCACGGGUGAGUAACACGUAUGCAACCUGCCUGUAAGCGGGGAAUAACCCGUUGAAAGACGGACUAAUACCGCAUAAUACUAAAUUACUGCAUGGUAAUUUAUUUAAACAUUUAUGGCUUACAGAUGGGCAUGCGCAUGAUUAGCUAGUUGGAGGGGUAACGGCUCCCCAAGGCAACGAUCAUUAGGGGUUCUGAGAGGAAGGUCCCCCACACUGGUACUGAGACACGGACCAGACUCCUACGGGAGGCAGCAGUGAGGAAUAUUGGUCAAUGGACGAGAGUCUGAACCAGCCAAGUCGCGUGCAGGAAGAAUGUCCUUAAUGGAUUGUAAACUGCUUUUGCAGGGGAAUAAAGUGCAUCACGUGUGAUGUUUUGUAUGUACUCUGCGAAUAAGGAUCGGCUAACUCCGUGCCAGCCGCAGC